GUAAUGCGUGAACCCAACCUGCCCCAUGCUCCAGAAUAGCUCUUGGAAACGGGUGGUAAUGCUGGAUGCUCCAACUUGACGCAUGUCUUGUUGGGAAAGUGUUUAGUGGCAUGGGAUGGGGUCGCGUCCUAUCAGCUUGUAGGCGGGGUAAUGGCCCACCUAGGCUUCGACGGGUAGCCGGCCUGAGAGGGCGGACGGCCACAUUGGGACUGAGAUACGGCCCAGACUCCUACGGGAGGCAGCAGCC
This 247-nucleotide ribosomal RNA is filed under the name uncultured Gardnerella sp. Its description in RNAcentral is "partial 16S ribosomal RNA". It matches the Rfam family "Bacterial small subunit ribosomal RNA", at positions 110 to 355 of the family's 1533-position model. Lineage: Bacteria; Bacillati; Actinomycetota; Actinomycetes; Bifidobacteriales; Bifidobacteriaceae. The record is from RNAcentral.